Molecule: ribosomal RNA, 468 nt
Filed under: uncultured bacterium
Lineage: Bacteria
Description: partial 16S ribosomal RNA
Rfam family: Bacterial small subunit ribosomal RNA
Source: RNAcentral
GACGAACGCUGGCGGCGUGCUUAACACAUGCAAGUCGAACGGUGAUGCUCCAGCUUGCUGGCGUGGAUCAGUGGCGAACGGGUGAGUAACACGUGAGCAACCUGCCCCAGACUCUGGAAUAAGCGCUGGAAACGGCGUCUAAUACUGGAUACGAAACUGGCCCGCAUGGGCAUGGUUUGGAAAGUUUUUCGGUUUGGGAUGGGCUCGCGGCCUAUCAGCUUGUUGGUGAGGUAAUGGCUCACCAAGGCGACGACGGGUAGCCGGCCUGAGAGGGCGACCGGCCACACUGGGACUGAGACACGGCCCAGACUCCUACGGGAGGCAGCAGUGGGGAAUAUUGCACAAUGGGCGCAAGCCUGAUGCAGCGACGCCGCGUGAGGGAUGACGGCCUUCGGGUUGUAAACCUCUUUCAGCAGGGAAGAAGCGAAAGUGACGGUACCUGCAGAAGAAGCACCGGCUAACUACGUG